AACGAACGCUGGCGGCAUGCGUAACACAUGCAAGUCGAACGAGACCUUCGGGUCUAGUGGCGCACGGGUGCGUAACGCGUGGGAAUCUGCCCUUGGGUUCGGAAUAACAGUUGGAAACGACUGCUAAUACCGGAUGAUGACGUAAGUCCAAAGAUUUAUCGCCCAAGGAUGAGCCCGCGUAGGAUUAGCUAGUUGGUGAGGUAAAGGCUCACCAAGGCGACGAUCCUUAGCUGGUCUGAGAGGAUGAUCAGCCACACUGGGACUGAGACACGGCCCAGACUCCUACGGGAGGCAGCAGUGGGGAAUAUUGGACAAUGGGCGAAAGCCUGAUCCAGCAAUGCUGCGUGAGUGAUGAAGGCCUUAGGGUUGUAAAGCUCUUUUACCCGGGAUGAUAAUGACAGUACCGGGAGAAUAAGCUCCGGCUAACUCCGUG
This 433-nucleotide ribosomal RNA is filed under the name uncultured bacterium. Its description in RNAcentral is "partial 16S ribosomal RNA". It matches the Rfam family "Bacterial small subunit ribosomal RNA", at positions 29 to 507 of the family's 1533-position model. The record is from RNAcentral.